This 504-nucleotide ribosomal RNA is filed under the name uncultured bacterium. Its description in RNAcentral is "bacterial SSU rRNA". It matches the Rfam family "Bacterial small subunit ribosomal RNA", at positions 107 to 598 of the family's 1533-position model. The record is from RNAcentral.
UGAGUAACACGUGGGGAAUCUGCCUAUAAGUGGGGGAUAACAUUCGGAAACGGAUGCUAAUACCGCAUAUAUUCAAAAACCGCAUGGUUUCUGAAAGAAAGACGGCUUUGCUGUCGCUUAUAGAUGAUCCCGCGGCGUAUUAGUUAGUUGGUGGGGUAAUGGCCUACCAAGACCAUGAUACGUAGCCGACCUGAGAGGGUGAUCGGCCACACUGGGACUGAGACACGGCCCAGACUCCUACGGGAGGCAGCAGUAGGGAAUCUUCCACAAUGGGUGCAAACCUGAUGGAGCAAUGCCGCGUGAAUGAAGAAGGUCUUCGGAUCGUAAAGUUCUGUUAUUAGAGAAGAACAAGUCAAGGAGUAACUGUCUUGACUUUGACGGUACCUAACCAGAAAGUCACGGCUAACUACGUGCCAGCAGCCGCGGUAAUACGUAGGUGACAAGCGUUGUCCGGAAUUAUUGGGCGUAAAGGGAGCGCAGGCGGUUGGAAUAGUCUGAUGUGAA